GAAUAUAUGCACGUGUUUGAACAUCCCUAACAACACACAACAUUCCAGGAAUGUACUACCAAAGUUCUAUCAAUAUUUGAAUGUCCUGGACAUUUAGGGAACAUUCGGUGAACAUCUGAUUAAAUUAUUCGUGGAAUGUUACCAUAAGACAUUCUGUGAACAUACUACCAAUGUUCCUGUUCAUUUUCAAAUUCACGGCGCAUGUAUUUGUGCAUGGUGCUUAGAGAGGGCAUCACGUGACUAAAAACGACCAAUGACCUCACUUCAGACUUCGGUUCGGCCAUCUUGACAUGCAUCUUGCCUUGGCCACCUUGCCGUGCGUGAUCGUUGUUUGUUUUUAUUUGUGCUUUUUAAGAAUAUUUUUUAAUUCGGAUACUUUUAUAAUAACUUUAAUAGUAUUAUUAAUAUAGUGCAUAAAAUCAGUUGGAGUAGCAGAAGCAAUGUAGAUAAAAAAUCUGCAGGAAUAAUGUUUCAAAGCUUUCCAGAAGAUCCUGCGAAGAAGGCAUGAAGUAUUGAUCAGAUUUGUUAAUAGAGCAGUAUGUUCAAAACAUUUUUUAGAAAAAGAUAUUGACAGAACUUCACUUUCAACCGUUUGAGAGACUGUGCUGUUCCAAUAGCUUAUAUCACACAGAAUCAGCUGAGAGAAGUGGUCUACAAAAAACCAGGAAGGAAAUGGAAUAUGUGGCUAUGAAAGGCAAAAGAAAGGUUUACAAAGCAAAUGUGACACAUUUUUUUAUAGGAAUAUCAGUAAAUUACAUUAAAAAAAUGUAUGAAAAGAUUUUUUGCAAUAAAAAUGUUUAUAUUUAUCAAGCAUGCAUUAUUUGGUAUGGCCACAUAUCGUCAGUGAUGUGACAAUACCUCCUAUCUGUUUUUUCAUGAGAUUUGUAAGAUAGACUAAAAACUUGUUUGGGCCACCUCCUGUUUUCAUAUAUUUUUUGACUUGUUUUGCAGUAAAUUUAACUAUCUAUUUACUACAAAACAAGCCAGAACUUACGUAUGCAAACAGGAGGUGACCUUAAAAAAUGUUUUUCGUCUCCUGCAAACCUCAUGAAAAAAGAU
This 1059-nucleotide long non-coding RNA is filed under the name Diabrotica virgifera virgifera (western corn rootworm). RNAcentral's name for it is "uncharacterized LOC126885708". Lineage: Eukaryota; Metazoa; Arthropoda; Insecta; Coleoptera; Chrysomelidae. The record is from RNAcentral.